Molecule: ribosomal RNA, 249 nt
Filed under: Escherichia coli
Lineage: Bacteria; Pseudomonadati; Pseudomonadota; Gammaproteobacteria; Enterobacterales; Enterobacteriaceae
Description: partial 16S ribosomal RNA
Rfam family: Bacterial small subunit ribosomal RNA
Source: RNAcentral
UUAAAUUGAAGAGUUUGAUCAUGGCUCAGAUUGAACGCUGGCGGCAGGCCUAACACAUGCAAGUCGAACGGUAACAGGAAUCAGCUUGCUGAUUUGCUGACGAGUGGCGGACGGGUGAGUAAUGUCUGGGAAACUGCCUGAUGGAGGGGGAUAACUACUGGAAACGGUAGCUAAUACCGCAUAACGUCGCAAGACCAAAGAGGGGGACCUUCGGGCCUCUUGCCAUCGGAUGUGCCCAGAUGGGAUUAG